GCGAUGAGCUGAAUUGUGUAAGCCGAUGCACAUGCCCUUGCGGCACACACGAAUGUGGCGUGUGGUGUAUCGCCUCAAUACGCAAAAGACGUUUGCUUCUGCAAACGUC
Molecule: non-coding RNA, 109 nt
Organism: Bacillus amyloliquefaciens
Lineage: Bacteria; Bacillati; Bacillota; Bacilli; Caryophanales; Bacillaceae
Source: Rfam